CUAUUUUUAUGUCUACUGUCACAUGAUAUGACGUCAUGACGUGCGGCCCUAACUGACGUUACCAGUAAAAUCUAUCCAAGAUGGCUACCCUCUCAAGCUACGUGGUAUCAAGCAUGAAACAACUUGAGGACCAGAUGGUGAUCCAUGAGCCUGAUGAAAGUGAUGCCUUACAGGAAUGGAGGGCUUUACAGCAACAGCAGGAUGCAGAAUAUGCUGUGUCCCUUAGAAUUGAUCAAGAAAAGAUUCAAAGAAGGCCUGGAGUGUUUGCAGCUUCUGGAACAUGUUGAAAAGCAUCCCAAUCUCUUUAGAGGAGUGCUAAUGUUCGAGGAGAAGCCACUUAUGGCAAGAGAUUUAGCUGAGCUUUUUAUUCCACAGCUGUCUCCAGUUGGCACCAACAGACGAGCACUGGAGAACAGAAUAGUCUGUUUCUGGAGGGACUGGCUCCUAGAUGUGGAAGGCAACAUUAUAUAGUAGGUUAUAUUAUACACAUUAUACAGUCUGUAACAUUAUGCAAUCGUUACAGUGCUCUUUCUUUCCCAAUCCAAUGUUUUCAAAAAGAUACCAGUGUUUUUGAUGAUUUUCUUAAAAUUUUCACGACCCCCACAAUAUUUUGUUGUAUGAAUAUCUGCACUAACAUUAUUUCAGUAUAAACACCAGAGCUUCUGCUUUUAAAGAAAAAAAACUUUUACUCUUGCUUCAUCC
Long non-coding RNA from Carassius carassius (crucian carp), 702 nucleotides. RefSeq lists it as uncharacterized. Lineage: Eukaryota; Metazoa; Chordata; Actinopteri; Cypriniformes; Cyprinidae. The record is from RefSeq and is a predicted model, not a curated record. The transcript has 4 exons.